GACGAACGCUGGCGGCGUGCCUAAUACAUGCAAGUCGAACGAACCGCGACUAGGUGCUUGCACUUGGUCAAGGUGAGUGGCGAACGGGUGAGUAACACGUGGGUAACCUACCUCAUAGUGGGGGAUAACAGUCGGAAACGACUGCUAAUACCGCAUAGGACAUAGGAUCACAUGAUUCUGUGAGGAAAGGUGGCGCAAGCUAUCGCUAAGAGAUGGACCCGCGGUGCAUUAGCUAGUUGGUAGGGUAAAGGCCUACCAAGGCGAUGAUGCAUAGCCGACCUGAGAGGGUGAUCGGCCACAUUGGGACUGAGACACGGCCCAAACUCCUACGGGAGGCAGCAGUAGGGAAUCUUCCGCAAUGGACGCAAGUCUGACGGAGCAACGCCGCGUGAGUGAAGAAGGUCUUCGGAUCGUAAAGCUCUGUUGUUAGAGAAGAACAGCGCAUAGAGUAACUGCUAUGCGUGUGACGGUAUCUAACCAGAAAGCCACGGCUAACUACG
This 500-nucleotide ribosomal RNA is filed under the name uncultured bacterium. RNAcentral describes it as "partial 16S ribosomal RNA". It matches the Rfam family "Bacterial small subunit ribosomal RNA", at positions 28 to 505 of the family's 1533-position model. The record is from RNAcentral.